GACGAACGCUGGCGGCGUGCCUAAUACAUGCAAGUAGAACGCUGAAGAGAGGAGCUUGCUCUUCUUGGAUGAGUUGCGAACGGGUGAGUAACGCGUAGGUAACCUGCCUUGUAGCGGGGGAUAACUAUUGGAAACGAUAGCUAAUACCGCAUAACAAUGGAUGACACAUGUCAUUUAUUUGAAAGGGGCAAUUGCUCCACUACAAGAUGGACCUGCGUUGUAUUAGCUAGUAGGUGAAGUAAUGGCUCACCUAGGCGACGAUACAUAGCCGACCUGAGAGGGUGAUCGGCCACACUGGGACUGAGACACGGCCCAGACUCCUACGGGAGGCAGCAGUAGGGAAUCUUCGGCAAUGGGGGCAACCCUGACCGAGCAACGCCGCGUGAGGGAAGAAGGUUUUCGGAUCGUAAAGCUCUGUUGUAAGUCAAGAACGGGUGUGAGAGUGGAAAGUUCACACUGUGACGGUAGCUUACCAGAAAGGGACGGCUAACUACGUG
Molecule: ribosomal RNA, 497 nt
Filed under: uncultured bacterium
Lineage: Bacteria
Description: partial 16S ribosomal RNA
Rfam family: Bacterial small subunit ribosomal RNA
Source: RNAcentral